GCUUUAGCCCAGUGGCAGAGCGCUUGCCUAGCAUGCAUGAGGCACUGGGUUCGAUCCCCAGCACUGCG
Molecule: transfer RNA, 68 nt
Filed under: Marmota monax (woodchuck)
Lineage: Eukaryota; Metazoa; Chordata; Mammalia; Rodentia; Sciuridae
Description: tRNA.Ala
Rfam family: tRNA (bases 5-61)
About the family: Transfer RNA (tRNA) molecules are approximately 80 nucleotides in length. Their secondary structure includes four short double-helical elements and three loops (D, anti-codon, and T loops).
Source: RNAcentral